Molecule: ribosomal RNA, 253 nt
Filed under: uncultured bacterium
Lineage: Bacteria
Description: partial 16S ribosomal RNA
Rfam family: Bacterial small subunit ribosomal RNA
Source: RNAcentral
UACGUAGGGGGCAAGCGUUGUCCGGAAUUAUUGGGCGUAAAGAGCGUGUAGGCGGCCUUACAGGUCAGCUGUGAAAACUCGAGGCUCAACCUCGAGACGUCGGUUGAAACCGUAUGGCUAGAGUCCGGAAGAGGAGAGUGGAAUUCCCGGUGUAGCGGUGAAAUGCGCAGAUAUCGGGAAGAACACCCGUGGCGAAGGCGGCUCUCUGGGACGGUACUGACGCUGAGACGCGAAAGCGUGGGGAGCGAACAGG